RNAcentral lists this ribosomal RNA (328 nucleotides) under uncultured eukaryote. RNAcentral describes it as "partial 18S ribosomal RNA". It matches the Rfam family "Eukaryotic small subunit ribosomal RNA", at positions 1470 to 1796 of the family's 1831-position model. The record is from RNAcentral.
CCCUUAGAUGUCCUGGGCCGCACGCGCGUUACACUGAUGCAUUCAACGAGCUUAUAACCUUGGCCGAGAGGCCUGGGCAAUCUUGUUAACGUGCAUCGUGAUAGGGAUAGAUUAUUGAAAUUAUUAAUCUUGAACGAGGAAUUCCUAGUAAACGCAGAUCAUCAAUCUGCAUUGAUUACGUCCCUGCCCUUUGUACACACCGCCCGUCGCACCUACCGAUUGGAUGGUCCGGUGAAGCCUCGGGAUUGUGGUUCUUGCCGCUUUAUUGUGGCGUGACCGCGAGAACUUGUCUAAACCUUAUCAUCUAGAGGAAGGAGAAGUCGUANCA